This 1621-nucleotide long non-coding RNA is filed under the name Homo sapiens (human). Its description in RNAcentral is "HSALNT0003988". Lineage: Eukaryota; Metazoa; Chordata; Mammalia; Primates; Hominidae. The record is from RNAcentral.
CUGCCUCUGUCAUGAGCCCUUUGCAGCCCAGAGAAGACGCAGAGGCAGAGCCUGGGUAAAGCUGGGAAGGUCAAGGAGAUGAGACCCUCCUGUGGGACAGGGUGAUGCCAGCCUCCUGCCUGAGUCCUUUGGUGGAGGGAUAACAGUAGGAACAGCACCAUCUCACCGAGCUGCCCUGGCUACCAGGACCUUUGUACCCAUCACUUCAGAGUACAAGACACUCCUGUGAGCCUGGCACAGCACUCACCUGUAUCACACAUGUGGAAACAGCUUCACCAGGUCCGGCCCUGUCUGUGGUCACACAGCUGGUCAGUGGCAGAGCCAAGGUCAGAAGCAGGUGUGGUGGGGUUGUUGUUUCGUUUUGGGUUUUUUUGAAAUGGAGUCUCGCUCUGUUACCCAGGCUGGAGUGCAGCUCACUGCGCUCACGAUCUCAGCUCACUGCAACCUCCGCCUCUCAGGUUCAAGCGAUUCCCGUCACAGCCUCCUGAGUAGCUGGGAUUACAGGCAUGGGCCACCAUGCCCAGCUAUUUCUGUAUUUUUAGUAGAGACAGGGUUUCACCGUGUUGGUCAGGCUGGUCUCGAACUCCUGACCUCAGGUGAUCCACCCACCUCAGCCUCCCAAAAUGCUGGGAUUACAGGUGUGAGCCACCACACCUGGUGUAGUUUUUGUUGUUGUUGUUUUGAGAUGGAAUUUCACUCGUUGCCCAGGCUGGAGUGCAAUGGCGUGAUCUCGGCUCACUGCAACCUCCACCUCCUGAUUUCAAGCAUUCUCCUACCUCAGCCUCCCGAGUAGCUGGAAUUACAGGCAUGUGCCACCACGCCCAGGUAAUUUUUGCAUUUUUAGCAGAGACAGGGUUUCACCAUGUUGGCCAGGCUAGUCUCGAUCUCCUGACCUCAUGUGAUCCACCCACCUUGGCCUCCCAAAGUGCUGGGAUUACAGGUGUGAGCCACCGCACCUGGUCCAGACUACUUGUUUGUUUUUGAGAUGGAGUUUUGCUCUUGUUGCCUAUACUGGAGUGCGAUGGCACUGUCUUGGCUCACUGAAACCUCCUCCUCCCAGGUUUGAGCAAUUCUCCUGCCUCAGCCUCCCGAAGUGCUGGGAUCUCCCCUCCUCGGCCUCCCAAAGUGCUGGAAUUACAGGCAUAAGCCACCACGCCCGGAUGCCAGUUUACUUCUUUAUGCCUCUGUUUCCUCCUCUAUGGAGGGCUAUUAGGAUCAAACCCCUCAGCUCUGGUAGCAGCAAACACAGCACAGUUGAGGGAUGGCUUUUCUGGCCUUCAGCUGGUGCUCGCUUCUCCCCCCUGUAGAGUGUGAGACUGAGGCUACUGAUUGCAUCUCUUCAGCCACAUCCUCUGGGCUGGCUGUUAGGGACCAGAAAGGAAGCAGCCCUGGGCCCUAUCCAGAUGCCUCAGGGGUUGGGGUGAAGACUCAUCCACCAAAAGUGGAAGAAGCCACAGCUGACUGCUUCAGGAGGCAUGCCCCCAUAACCUCAGGCAGACGCUUCACUUCUCUGGCCUGUUUCUGCCUCAAACUGUGUCCGGAAUUGGUGGGUUCUUGGUCUCACUGACUUCAAGAAUGAAGCCGUGGACCCUCGUGGUGAGUGUUACAGUUCUUAAAGGCG